This is a long non-coding RNA of Nematostella vectensis (starlet sea anemone), 1341 nucleotides long. RefSeq lists it as uncharacterized. The transcript is spliced from 2 exons. The record is from RefSeq and is a predicted model, not a curated record. NCBI's taxonomy places the organism in Eukaryota, Metazoa, Cnidaria, Anthozoa, Actiniaria, Edwardsiidae.
GGAGCUCCAUAGGUAUAGAAAUAUGGUAUAGCUAUGCGACUUGGUUUUGUGGUCAUCGCGCGGGUAUCCUGUGGUGUCACAAUCCAUCCAUCCAUCCAGUCAAUCGUGCAACUCCCAAGCCCCCUCGGUCUUACGUUUUUACGUAUUUUUAUUUUUUUUUACCGCCAUCAAAGUUCCUAUGUUCACAGCAAAAAAGGCAGAUUGAAAAUAGUAUUUAAUGAGAAAAUAUGCGGAUCCAAAUGGGCUGAAAUCUUUGAGGAACCGUUUUGUCUGAAGUACGUGCCGAAAGCAAAAUCUACCCGAGUGUUCGUGAAUCCCGUCCGUUGCAGCAGCAAAAAGAGGACUACUUAGAGGCUCUACACUACCAUUCUAAUAACAUUCCUUCACGUCUAUAUCUAUGGAGAUCUAUAAAGAGAUCCUGAGAAGAAAGGGCCUUGGAUUUAUGUUUUCAGCUAUAAAAAUAAUUCACUUGUGUCGACGAGUUUCUUGCUAGCAGAAAGUCGACAAGUUCACAGUUUACAACAAAAAGCGAACACAACCACACAAGCGACAAACAGAAAGCGACGAAAAACACUGCCAAGGCUAGUUUUGAACGACGGUUUGUAUUGAGAAUAUCACAGUUAUUUUUCUUUCAUUGUUGUGCUUUUAUAAUGCUCGUUUAUUCUAGUAUUUUAUUCCAAAACCAAUCGCUCAAGCUAAAACACCAUACCAGUUUGACGUCAAGAUGUCAUAUCAAAGUCAUCUAUCACUGUUUUGAUUGGCUUAAAUACCAUCUACUUGAAUUCCGAUCGGCUUAUAAUUUUGGAGUGCACUUGAGUGGUUUUCAUUCCACUGGCAAUCGCCAUGAAAAUGUUAAAUUCGUAAAUACUUACACGUUCUAUAAAUUCAGGCAUAUAUUCCUCACGGUAAGUUCGCUGGCGCGCUCUUCAGAUAAGGCAGUCACGCGCAAACCGACUCCUGAAAAUCAGCUGCUCAGCUAUCAGAUUCGCAGCCCAUUACUGCAGGCGUUCCUCAGCGCUCGAUUUUAGGUCCCUUAAUGUUUAUCCUGUUUAUUAAUGACUUACCACUUGAAGUCUCCAACAGCGCACUCGAGAUAUAUGCAGAUGAUACAACACAAGUCGCAAGUGGAAGUAGCGUUAGUGAGGUAAAACCAACCAAGGACUACCCAAGGGCCAUGAUUGAUGCUGAAGGCUGGGAGGCAUGAGAAUAGGCAAAUGUCUUAAAGAUAAUAAAGUAGGGGAUUUCUUACUUCGAUACAGCAGUAAAUGUGAAAUAGGCUUUUUUAAAGCAAAUACUUGCCCUCAAUGAUAGAUCUGAAAAAUUUUUUUCUAUCAACCUAAA